Molecule: RNA transcript, 802 nt
Organism: Erigeron canadensis
Lineage: Eukaryota; Viridiplantae; Streptophyta; Magnoliopsida; Asterales; Asteraceae
Gene name: protein NUCLEAR FUSION DEFECTIVE 6, mitochondrial-like
Exons: 4
Source: RefSeq, a predicted model, not a curated record
AUCCAAUAAAAAAAACAAAAAACAGACAUCACACCACCCUCACAAACAAAACACACAUAGCGAAAUGGCGACGGCAGCAGCCGCAGCUCGAUCUGUUUUCCGAUCAACCUCCAUCCGGAACGCGGCGGCGAGGAUGGCUUCUCAAUCCAAAUCUGCUCCUCGCUCACCUUUUUCCAUCCCGUCCCGAAACUCUUUAUCUCGCCGCUUUUUCCGACGUCCGGUGGAAAUGAGUGCUUGUUUGGAGUCACUGCAACCCUUUCACACCGUUACGGCUUCGGCUUUAAUGACAUCAAUGCUGACUCUUUCUCAAAAUGGUUAUGGUUGGCUCCCUGAAGGCGUUGACAAGACUAGAUGAAGAUCGUGAAUCAAAGAUGGAAUGACUUGGAUUUGUCUAUGUUGUGAAGCUUAUUAUAAAUAGGGAAUAUUUAGCUUGCAAUGAUGAUGUGUGAUGAUUGUUGAGAAGUUUGAAGCAUUAAAACAUCUAGAAUUCCUACGAUUCAUUCCAUAGUGCUUGCUUGGUGUUCGGUUAGAUGUUUAUGUUGUCAAGGAGUUGCUGAAGCCGCCAAAUGAUCUUUUUUGGUUUAUCUGAACUACUAAUUGUGUAUUCAUGGUCCUAAUAAACAUCUUGGCCUUUUAUGAUAUGUUUUAGUGAAGCAGAUCAUCAAUUGUUUUCUAACUACAAGCUUGAACAAACUGCUAGAUUAUGAUUGUUUAGUUUUGCUGAAUGUAUCCACUUCUUAUGUGUUGCUGAAUCACAGAUUGUAGUCAAUAAUAUACAAUGCAUGGUUUCUUUUGGCUCAAA